UGGUGUAAGUGGGCCGGCGAUGCCCCC
This 27-nucleotide non-coding RNA is filed under the name Rattus norvegicus (Norway rat). The record is from RNAcentral. Lineage: Eukaryota; Metazoa; Chordata; Mammalia; Rodentia; Muridae.